UUUUUAAUUGACAUAGACCAAGUCAUCUAGUAAAAUGAGUCAUCUAGUAAAAUGAG
Molecule: transfer RNA, 56 nt
Filed under: Pterisanthes stonei
Lineage: Eukaryota; Viridiplantae; Streptophyta; Magnoliopsida; Vitales; Vitaceae
Description: partial tRNA-Phe
Source: RNAcentral